Molecule: ribosomal RNA, 382 nt
Filed under: uncultured bacterium
Lineage: Bacteria
Description: bacterial SSU rRNA
Rfam family: Bacterial small subunit ribosomal RNA
Source: RNAcentral
GACGAACGCUGGCGGCGUGCUUAACACAUGCAAGUCGAGCGGUAAGGCCCUUUCGGGGGUACGACGAGCGGCGAACGGGUGAGUAACACGUGGGUGACCUGCCCUCAGCUCUGGGAUAAGCCCGGGAAACUGGGUCUAAUACUGGAUAUGACUCCAUGACGCAUGUUGUGGGGUGGAAAGCCUUGUGCGGCUGAGGAUGGGCCCGCGGCCUAUCAGCUUGUUGGUGGGGGAUGGCCUACCAAGGCGACGACGGGUAGCCGGCCUGAGAGGGCGACCGGCCACACUGGGACUGAGACACGGCCCAGACUCCUACGGGAGGGCAGCAGUGGGGAAGUCUUGCGCAAUGGGCGAAAGCCUGACGCAGCGACGCCGCGUGAGGGAU